UCAGGUAACUAUCAUGAUUAGCAUGAAUUAGAUACAAGACAGUACUUCAGUGACUAGCGUGAACUGGGCGCAAUAUGCUAUUUCCUACAAUCUUGGUGGGUGGCGGUGCCGGAGGAAGUCCGAGGGAUGGGCCGGUGUCUUGGAGACUGAAAACAGAUCCGGAGCAGGCGGAGGUUAGCGGCGGCUGCAGGAGGAUGCAGUGAAGGAAGAGCCGUUGAUGGAGAUGCCUGAAUGUGGCCUUUGAAUCUUUCUACCAUCUGGCUAGACGGAUCACGGGUACCUGAGGCCUCCAACCACCCCUUGUGGUGAUGUGUGACCAUCAAAUUAUGUAUUCAAUAAUCAAGACAUAUUUUAAGGAUUUUAAAAUGUGAGGGUUUUGCGCUUAACAAGUCAAAAGAACCUAAUAAAGUAUACAGAGAGAGCCUGGACUAUUUUUGUCUGACAAAAUCUUGUUACUGUUCCAGAAAUAAUUCCUCCAAACGUUAUUUAUAGCAGCAGUCAGGUUCCUUCGUCGUUUGUACACUGUGUAAAUGAAAAACGAAAGUUUUGCUGAAAACAGAUGGCGGGUGGUUAGAUGGGUUAGUUAGCUUAUGGAUGUUUUGUGUAUGUGUGUGCGUGCACCCGUACCAGCGAAAAAGAGAAUAACUUGCAUCUUAAAUGGCACUAAGUAGUCUUCAACACCAUCUUGCCUUUUAGCAGCGAAACUUUAUGGACAUUCUUGCAUCUUAGCGGGCACUAAGUAAUCUUUAUGCACUUUCUUGCAUAUUUUGUUCUCAAUACCUCCUUUCACAAGAAACAUUGUCCACCGUAAAAAGUGGUUUAUUGUGUAUGUAGUCAUACAAACUUUAUCUGUGGUAUGAGUGACAUCUUGAGUGCGGCAUGAAACAGUCUGCCCUCACUCCGCCUCCUGUCAACCAUUAUGCCCUUUGCAAUUAAGAUUCUUAAAACACGUUUUCCCGGUCUUUUAUGUUGGUGCGAAUGGUGUUUAUUUAGUUUUUACUUCCACUUUAUCCCCUGUUUCUUCUUUAAAAAUAAAUAAGUGCAGACGGGGAUAGCAUUCUCCUUCGGUGAUUUUAUAUGUCGUGGGAGUGCAGGAGGGCGGCAGGGAGAGGCACUGCAAGUAUUUGCAGUAGUAAUAGCAAUAGUAAUGCUAGUAAAAGUAAAGUCUUCUUUGUUAAUGGACAGUUAGGUCCUCGAUGUUUUACCUGGGAAUUUGUUCAGCAAGUAUACAGACCGGCAACACGCGUGUGUAUACGAGCAGAUUUUGAGUCCUUUGACUUAAAUAAUCACAUCUUUCCCAACUUCCACUUCAA
Molecule: long non-coding RNA, 1313 nt
Organism: Pomacea canaliculata
Lineage: Eukaryota; Metazoa; Mollusca; Gastropoda; Architaenioglossa; Ampullariidae
Exons: 3
Source: RefSeq, a predicted model, not a curated record